AACCUACUUCCUCCGAUCGGAAUUACUUGUCUCGGAAAUGGAUGUAUCUAGAAUUAAAAUACGUUUAGAUACAUCCAUUUCUACGACAAGUAAUUCCGAACGGAGGGAGUAGACC
Non-coding RNA from Triticum urartu, 115 nucleotides. The record is from Rfam. Lineage: Eukaryota; Viridiplantae; Streptophyta; Magnoliopsida; Poales; Poaceae.